This 1655-nucleotide long non-coding RNA is filed under the name Rattus norvegicus (Norway rat). RNAcentral describes it as "long non-coding RNA NONRATT021430". Lineage: Eukaryota; Metazoa; Chordata; Mammalia; Rodentia; Muridae. The record is from RNAcentral.
CAACUGGUUACCAUGCCUUACAUAAUGGAGUUAGUAUUUGUGAGUAGAGAGACUUAGGUAACGGAAAUAUAAAUAAGAAUGUUUUAACAUAAUAUGCUAAAAAUAUUUUCAUAUUUAAAUAACAUGCAUAAAACGUUAUGCAUAAUGUGUUUUUUUUAGUUACUAUCUUGCCCUUUAAAAAGCUGAAACUCUUGCCAUCGAACUUACCAAUCAUUAGUGUUCUAAAUGGCAUCUUUGUGCAGAAGACUCAGUUCACUCAUUAGUGUUCACAUACUCAUCGAGUGCCUGCUGGACGCAAGAGACUGAAUUUAUACCCAAUGUUACUUGUGGACCAAGACACCAGUGUCGAAAUACUUUCCCCCUGAAAUGUUAGCAAACACUUAGAAAUACUUCAGGGCAAGUUGUGUGUGUGUGAGCUUAGUUACAGCUUCAUCAGCGGAUGAAGCUUUAAAGCACUUUGUAGUUCUCCAUUGCCAACAAUUUUGUUGCCAAUUCUUGCAACGGUUGCCCUGAGAGAUCUGUGGUUGCAGUGCGAAUUAAAGUUCAGAACGUGUUUGAAAGAUCCCCACGCCCCUUUCCGCUCAGUUGUGACUUCCUUUAAGGCACUUUCCCAUCACACUGUGGAUGUCUGCAUCGUCAUUAGAAGCGUGUUUAGCUUUAGAAGCCCUUGCCGGAUUAUGCAGAUAAGCCUUACUGACAUAAGUGCUUCGUGCAGCAGGUGGUCAAGGAGGACGACUACUAACCCAUUAGGGACCUACAUCGGAUCGUCCCGGAGCCUCUCACCGACAGUACCAUCAUGCGUUGAGUGUUCUUUUCUCCCAAGUGCUAUUCCUUAAACAAGAGUUUACUGGUGGCCUACUACGCAGCAAACGUUCUUUGACACAUCGAACUGCACACAGCAGACUGGUGAGAGGAGACUCAUUCCCUCUAAGAUAACCUUCCCCACGCUCCCAUCCGACGCAGCCUCACACAGAACUGACAGUGUUCCUCCUCAGUAUUUAUUUACACUGUGAAGAUAAUUCUGCUAAACAGAUGGGUACGCUGCGACAUUAAUCCCUCAUGCUGAGGGCUUUAAAAAUAUUUAUAAAGAUGCUGCCCACUAAAAAUGUCCUCAGCUCUGAAAAGUGGUCUUGGUCUUGACUAUACAGUGUUAGCUCUCAUGGUGUUAAACGGAUGAUCCAGAAUUGAGAAUCAGAAGUUGGUGCAAAAGGAGGCCCUACUUGCUCCAUACCUACCUACAGUUGACCAAAAAGUUAUAGGCUAGCAGCUAAUAGUUAGCUUUGCUCUUUCUAGUGUGAGAAACUGCAGGCUGGAUCAGUAGUUCAGCAGCUACAGUCAUAAAAACAGUCAUUGUGCAUGUUAGAACCUUUCAGUGAUGAAACCCAGUUUCCUCUUCUUCACUGUGACAGUAUUACCAAGCAGGUGAGGAAGGGAUUUUGUUACACCGUGUAUAGUGAAUGUAUUGUACCGUGUCUGUGAAAACCCUGCUUUAAAUUAUAUUUUCAUAUGUUUUGUUGGGGACAGAGCACAUUAGGUUUGAAAGCAACAAAACUAUCAGAACUAAAGGCAAUGUACUCACUUUCUGUCAAGAAAAGCUGCUUAAUAAAUGUACAUGAAAUCACAUUUAAAAUAAACUGCCUCUGACCCAAAAUAAA